RNAcentral lists this ribosomal RNA (253 nucleotides) under uncultured bacterium. RNAcentral's name for it is "partial 16S ribosomal RNA". It matches the Rfam family "Bacterial small subunit ribosomal RNA", at positions 524 to 776 of the family's 1533-position model. The record is from RNAcentral.
UACAGAGGUCUCAAGCGUUGUUCGGAUUCAUUGGGCGUAAAGGGCGCGUAGGCUGCGGGGCAAGGCGGGUGUGAAAUCUCAGAGCUCAACUCUGAAACUGCACUCGAUACUGCUUUGCUUGAGGACUGGAGAGGAGAUUGGAAUUCACGGUGUAGCAGUGAAAUGCGUAGAUAUCGUGAGGAAGACCAGUGGCGAAGGCGGAUCUCUGGACAGUUCCUGACGCUGAGGCGCGAAGGCCAGGGGAGCAAACGGG